UGAGGAAUAUUGGGCAAUGCUCGAAAGAGUGACCCAGCAACGCCGCGUGGAGGAUGAAGGUAUUCUAUAUCGUAAACUCCUGUGAGAGCAGACGAAAGACAGAUUAUUAAUCUGGAUGACUGUAUGCUCAGAGGAAGCCCCGGCUAACUACGUGCC
This 156-nucleotide ribosomal RNA is filed under the name uncultured bacterium. Its description in RNAcentral is "partial 16S ribosomal RNA". It matches the Rfam family "Bacterial small subunit ribosomal RNA", at positions 355 to 509 of the family's 1533-position model. The record is from RNAcentral.